Carcharodon carcharias (great white shark) is the source of this 121-nucleotide small nucleolar RNA. RefSeq annotates it as small nucleolar RNA SNORA26. NCBI's taxonomy places the organism in Eukaryota, Metazoa, Chordata, Chondrichthyes, Lamniformes, Lamnidae. The transcript has a single exon. The record is from RefSeq and is a predicted model, not a curated record.
UUGCACAUCUAAGACAGAUGGUGUCUUAAAUGGCCAAGAUAAAGGGGGAUAUAAAAUUUUCUCUCUCAAACCCAAAGCAAAAGGAUUAUCAAUGCUUUGGAUCCUGUCGGGAGGAACAGCU